CGGCGUGCUUAACACAUGCAAGUCGAGCGAAGCAGUUAAGUUGAUUUCUUCGGAUUGAUUCUUAACUGACUGAGCGGCGGACGGGUGAGUAACGCGUGGGUGACCUGCCCCAUACCGGGGGAUAACAGCUGGAAACGGCUGCUAAUACCGCAUAAGCGCACAGAGCUGCAUGGCUCGGUGUGAAAAACUCCGGUGGUAUGGGAUGGGCCCGCGUCUGAUUAGGCAGUUGGCGGGGUAACGGCCCACCAAACCGACGAUCAGUAGCCGGCCUGAGAGGGCGACCGGCCACAUUGGGACUGAGACACGGCCCAAACUCCUACGGGAGGCAGCAGUGGGGAAUAUUGCACAAUGGGGGAAACCCUGAUGCAGCGACGCCGCGUGAAGGAUGAAGUAUUUCGGUAUGUAAACUUCUAUCAGCAGGGAAGAAAAUGACGGUACCUGACUAAGAAGCCCCGGCUAACUACGUGCCAGCAGCCGCGGUAAUACGUAGGGGGCAAGCGUUAUCCGGAUUUACUGGGUGUAAAGGGAGCGUAGACGGUAUGGCAAGUCUGAUGUGAAAGGCCAGGGCUCAACCCUGGGACUGCAUUGGAAACUGUCGAACUAGAGUGUCGGAGAGGCAAGUGGAAUUCCUAGUGUAGCG
This 640-nucleotide ribosomal RNA is filed under the name uncultured Lachnospiraceae bacterium. RNAcentral describes it as "bacterial SSU rRNA". It matches the Rfam family "Bacterial small subunit ribosomal RNA", at positions 40 to 680 of the family's 1533-position model. Lineage: Bacteria; Bacillati; Bacillota; Clostridia; Lachnospirales; Lachnospiraceae. The record is from RNAcentral.